Megachile rotundata (alfalfa leafcutting bee) is the source of this 2238-nucleotide long non-coding RNA. NCBI's taxonomy places the organism in Eukaryota, Metazoa, Arthropoda, Insecta, Hymenoptera, Megachilidae. The record is from RefSeq and is a predicted model, not a curated record.
AGAAAAUUUACGACAAAUUUCUAAUUAUUAAAGGGUGACACAAAAUUACAUUCACUUGAUUUAAAUUUCCCGCUCGUCUGUACAACCAAUUUAAAGGGACAGGCUUUACCGAAUAUCAAAGGCGCCGCCCGGAGUGUCGCCUCUUGUUGUACCUACUCUUUGCCUUUGUUCUCGAAGGGUCAUGGAUUUUGGGGUCCGAGGACCCCAGGGUGAGGUACGAUAAAUAGAAGAAAGCAGCUAUAUCGACAGUCCUAUCUGUUUUACCCGUUUAUCUUUUACCACAUACAUCACGCAACUACCUUAUCCACUGAAGCAGAAUAAAGGGUGAUAUACUUUAUUAAAACGAGAGAAACGUCGCAAUUCACGUAGCUAGUUGGUAUCCCUGUAGCUUUGCUUUUUACAUCGUGAUCAUAUACAAGGUGAACAACAAUGCAUGCAUAAGUAGUAAAAAUAUAAUUUUGAAAAUGUAUUUAAUAAUUUCUAAAACUUUCUGCGCGCUAGGUAUACACGCUUCAAGUUAUUUUGACGUUACCAACGCCUGCGCGUUACUUCAGAUUAGGAAGUGCGAAGAACCAAUCAUAGCAGAAAUGCGUAUCGUGAACGAAAACUUGUCGUUCGACGUUACGUUUAUCUCGCCAACAUAUGUAUAAUAUAUGCAAUGUUGCCAAAUGAAACUUCGUAUAUACGGCAACAUCGCUUUUUAGGCUAAUACAGACCGAAAAUCUGGAUUAUUGAAGCUGAAAAGGAUUGUUCGCUGUUCAGUAAGCCAAGCCUAGGGCCCGAUCGAACUGUACAGUCACUCUGAUCAAAAAGUGCAACAUUUUAUUGUGGAUGUGGAAGCACUAUUUUGAUAUUAUAAUAUUAACAUAACUACUGUUCUAGAAUUUUUAACUACCGACAAUUUAGAACUACCGACAUUAAAUGCUCACUUAUCGAAGAAUGAAAACAGACAUUUCCAGAAAAUCGCGACAAUAAAAUUUUAUGAUAUAAAAUGAGAAAUCUGAAACCAGUCAUUUUGACUGGUUGGUAGUUUUAUUGGACGUAAGUUCGAGUUCCUCAUCCAAACUUUAGCUUUUUUUAAUGUUAAUUUUUUGUUCUAACCGUGCCGCAAUGAGUAAUAGUCAUAACUUGAACAUGUACGUAUAAAAUUCUAUGAUAAUUCAAUACAGUUUACUGAUGUGUCCCCUUUUGCCGCAGAACGUUAGAAAACGUCAACUUUUUUGAAAAGCAUAUGAGGUUGGCAACCUUUAACAGUAUCUCAUCAAUGGUAUAAUUCAAAUAAUACAGUCGAUAUCAAAGUAAUCUACUGUUACCCUUAAGUGUAUUAAACUGCUGCAGCAUGAAGUGUUUCAUAAUUUUAUACUAAAAUAAAGUAGAUGGCGCUCGUUCCCGAGUCAUAGAUUCAUGUUCCCUUUAGGACAAAGGCAUGCAUAGUCUUGUUAUAUCUGUAGUCACUGCGCAAACAUAAGAGAGUUGCCGCUUCGUCGCCAGGCGCUGCUCGCACGACCCGACUUCCGCGCUCCUGGCUGUCGUUCUAGGAAGCAGUCUCCAGGAUCUCUCUCUCGCUCCUGGGAUGGUUUCGACGGUAACGAUAUGACAACUCUCUCGGAUUGUCGCGCCCUCCCUACGACCGAUCGACGUCGGGCCCACUCUCGAUCGGGGACUCGUCGAGCUAAUAGUUGUGCGCGUUUUCUACGUCGCCCCAUCCUAGGACCGACAGGAGAUCGGCUUAUAAUUCGGACUUUGCUGUGAACUCUGCUUCAGUGGUAAAAUUCUCCAUCAUUACGGUACGACACGACGCCAUGCAAACACGAGCAGCAGAUGGGGAUUUGAUGGACCACCAAUUCGGAACUCGGAAUUCAACGUUCAAACACUGGAAAGGGGGUGAUGUGGUACUUGUCUAAUCUGAACGCCCCUUUAUGAAGGGUCGACGCAGCGCCAUCUAACAGUGAUACGUGGUACUACAACAGAAACUUCGCUGAUGGCAAAAGUAGUUUAAGCCAUGCUAUCGGACCGACGAGCUAGUCUUUACAGCAUUGAAGUGGAGGAAGGAUCUCUGCGUUCCAUUUAAUCAAAUUCCAAAAUUGAAUAUACACACAAUCUGCCACGGUCUUCGACAAAGUAUUAAGCCAAUAAAGAGUUACAUAAAUUAAAAAUUCUACAAAAUAUAUUUGCAAAUUGUAUGUAUUUAUGAAGUUACAAUAAAUAAACAAAAGAAAUCAUGUACUUAUUUACAAU